CGAAGCUACUUCUGUUCUCUUUCCAUUCCACUCUCACUCUUCUCUUAAGCUCAGAAACACUUGAAACUGCUUGGUUCACUUUCAUCAAAGGUUGAAAAUCAGUAGGUACUAUAUCUCCAAGUCUUGCUUCUCAUCAUGUUAGGAGAACAAAUGGAAGACUUUGAGAUUUCAAACCACUGAGCUUCUCUCUAUUUUGCUUCAAUGCUAGAAAUUUUCUUUCAUUUCGGUGAUCAAGAUGGAGGUUGACUAUCUCUGAAAUUUGAAAUGGGAAAUCCCAUUGUUCAUACAUACUUGAGAAAAUUCAUUGAUCUUGCUCAAGAGAGUUACUAAAAACUAAGUUUCCUUUGUACCUUUCUCUUACAUAUUUGGAUUUGCCAAGUUGAUGUUAUCUGAUAUUGACUGCUUGGCUUUUCUGUGUUUUCUGCAGAAUCCUAAUAUGCAGUUUGAGGCUUUGAUUUACUACCUCACAAAUCUAAGUGAAUUACAGAUAGUUUUAGUUUUGGCUACUCUUUUGAUUUUUCUGUGUUUUCGCUUUUGCUCUAUUCCUCCCUGUAACACUACGUUACUCAUCAUUCAAGGUAAACUCAUUCCUCACAAUCUACACUUGACUAGAAAUUUAACAUUAUAACCUACACUUGACUAGAAAUUUUGCACUCCUCACAAUCAUUUUAUCUGCAGGCUCACUAGCCAUUCCCUUCAAAUCAUAUUAUGGAGGGUUAUGCAUAUAUGCUCACGCACCACGGAAUACCUUCCGUUUUCUAUGACCACUUCUAUGAUUCGGAUGAUUUCAUUCAUGAUUAGAUCGUGAAACUGGUACAGCAGUACAGCUAGCUAGUUCCUUUAUUGACUUGUGUCUAGUAGAAGUUUUUCCUUCAUUAAGCAUUUGGACUUCCAGAUUAGUAUAUAUGGGCCAUUUUGAACUGAUGCUCAUGAUUAGGUUUGUGUACAUGA
This is a long non-coding RNA of Rosa chinensis, 951 nucleotides long. RefSeq lists it as uncharacterized. Lineage: Eukaryota; Viridiplantae; Streptophyta; Magnoliopsida; Rosales; Rosaceae. The record is from RefSeq and is a predicted model, not a curated record. The transcript is spliced from 5 exons.